This 767-nucleotide ribosomal RNA is filed under the name uncultured bacterium. Its description in RNAcentral is "bacterial SSU rRNA". It matches the Rfam family "Bacterial small subunit ribosomal RNA", at positions 28 to 784 of the family's 1533-position model. The record is from RNAcentral.
AUUGAACGCUGGCGGCAGGCCUAACACAUGCAAGUCGAGCGGCAGCGGAAAGUAGCUUGCUACUUUGCCGGCGAGCGGCGGACGGGUGAGUAAUGUCUGGGGAUCUGCCUGAUGGAGGGGGAUAACUACUGGAAACGGUAGCUAAUACCGCAUAACGUCGCAAGACCAAAGCGGGGGACCUUCGGGCCUCGCGCCAUCAGAUGAACCCAGAUGGGAUUAGCUAGUAGGUGGGGUAAUGGCUCACCUAGGCGACGAUCUCUAACUGGUCUGAGAGGAUGACCAGUCACACUGGAACUGAGACACGGUCCAGACUCCUACGGGAGGCAGCAGUGGGGAAUAUUGCACAAUGGGCGCAAGCCUGAUGCAGCCAUGCCGCGUGUGUGAAGAAGGCCUUCGGGUUGUAAAGCACUUUCAGCGAGGAGGAAGGGGGUAAGGUGAAUAGCCUUAUUCAUUGACGUUACUCGCAGAAGAAGCACCGGCUAACUCCGUGCCAGCAGCCGCGGUAAUACGGAGGGUGCAAGCGUUAAUCGGAAUUACUGGGCGUAAAGCGCACGCAGGCGGUUUGUUAAGUCAGAUGUGAAAUCCCCGCGCUUAACGUGGGAACUGCAUUUGAAACUGGCAAGCUAGAGUCUUGUAGAGGGGGGUAGAAUUCCAUGUGUAGCGGUGAAAUGCGUAGAGAUGUGGAGGAAUACCGGUGGCGAAGGCGGCCCCCUGGACAAAGACUGACGCUCAGGUGCGAAAGCGUGGGGAGCAAACAGGAUUAGAUA